CAGGUGGUCAGGUAGAGAAUACUCAGGCGCUUGAGAGAACUCGGGUGAAGGAACUAGGCAAAAUGGUGCCGUAACUUCGGGAGAAGGCACGCUGGCGCUAGGUGAAGUGGUUUACCCAUGGAGCUGAAGCCAGUCGCAGAUACCAGCUGGCUGCAACUGUUUAUUAAAAACACAGCACUGUGCAAACACGAAAGUGGACGUAUACGGUGUGACGCCUGCCCGGUGCUGGAAGGUUAAUUGAUGGGGUUAUCCGUAAGGAGAAGCUCUUGAUCGAAGCCCCAGUAAACGGCGGCCGUAACUAUAACGGUCCUAAGGUAGCGAAAUUCCUUGUCGGGUAAGUUCCGACCUGCACGAAUGGCGUAAUGAUGGCCAGGCUGUCUCCACCCGAGACUCAGUGAAAUUGAACUCGCUGUGAAGAUGCAGUGUACCCGCGGCAAGACGGAAAGACCCCGUGAACCUUUACUAUAGCUUGACACUGAACAUUGAGCCUUGAUGUGUAGGAUAGGUGGGAGGCUUUGAAGUGUGGACGCCAGUCUGCAUGGAGCCAACCUUGAAAUACCACCCUUUAAUGUUUGAUGUUCUAACGUUGCCCCGUUAUCCGGGGUGCGGACAGUGUCUGGUGGGUAGUUUGACUGGGGCGGUCUCCUCCCAAAGAGUAACGGAGGAGCACGAAGGUUGGCUAAGCAUGGUCGGACAUCAUGCGGUUAGUGCAAAGGCAUAAGCCAGCUUGACUGCGAGAGUGACGGCUCGAGCAGGUACGAAAGUAGGUCUUAGUGAUCCGGUGGUUCUGAAUGGAAGGGCCAUCGCUCAACGGAUAAAAGGUACUCCGGGGAUAACAGGCUGAUACCGCCCAAGAGUUCAUAUCGACGGCGGUGUUUGGCACCUCGAUGUCGGCUCAUCACAUCCUGGGGCUGAAGUAGGUCCCAAGGGUACGGCUGUUCGCCGUUUAAAGUGGUACGCGAGCUGGGUUUAGAACGUCGUGAGACAGUUCGGUCCCUAUCUGCCGUGGGCGUUGGAAGAUUGAAAGGGGCUGCUCCUAGUACGAGAGGACCGGAGUGGACGCACCACUGGUGUUCGGGUUGUCAUGCCAAUGGCAUUGCCCGGUAGCUAAGUGCGGAAGAGAUAACCGCUGAAAGCAUCUAAGCGGGAAACUUGCCUUGAGAUGAGUCUUCCCUGACCCUUUAAGGGUCCUAAAGGAACGUUUAAGACUAAGACGUUGAUAGGUUGGGUGUGUAAGCAUAGCGAUAUGUUGAGCUAACCAAUACUAAUGAACCGUGAGGCUUAACCUG
This 1289-nucleotide ribosomal RNA is filed under the name Providencia rettgeri. Its description in RNAcentral is "partial 23S ribosomal RNA". It matches the Rfam family "Bacterial large subunit ribosomal RNA", at positions 1660 to 2925 of the family's 2925-position model. Lineage: Bacteria; Pseudomonadati; Pseudomonadota; Gammaproteobacteria; Enterobacterales; Morganellaceae. The record is from RNAcentral.